UACGUAGGGGGCAAGCGUUGUCUGGAUUUAUUGGGCGUAAAGAGCGUGUAGGCGGUUUGGUAGGUCCGUUGUGAAAACUCGAGGCUCAACCUCGAGACGCCGAUGGAAACCAUCAGACUAGAGUCCGGAAGAGGAGAGUGGAAUUCCUGGUGUAGCGGUGAAAUGCGUAGAGAUCAUGAGGAAGACCAGUGGCGAAGGCGGGUCUCUGGACAGUUCCUGACACUGAGGCACGAAGGCCAGGGGAGCAAACGGG
Molecule: ribosomal RNA, 253 nt
Filed under: uncultured bacterium
Lineage: Bacteria
Description: partial 16S ribosomal RNA
Rfam family: Bacterial small subunit ribosomal RNA
Source: RNAcentral